ACUCAAAUGAAUUGACGGGGGCCCGCACAAGCAGUGGAGUAUGUGGUUUAAUUCGAAGCAACGCGAAGAACCUUACCAGGUCUUGACAUCAAGUGAAUAACUAAGAGAUUAGUUAGCCUUUCGGGGCACGAAGACAGGUGGUGCAUGGUUGUCGUCAGCUCGUGUCGUGAGAUGUUGGGUUAAGUCCCGCAACGAGCGCAACCCUUACCGUUAGUUGCUACGCAAGAGCACUCUAACGGGACUGCCGUUGACAAAACGGAGGAAGGUGGGGAUGACGUCAAAUCAUCAUGCCCCUUAUGACCUGGGCUACACACGUACUACAAUGGCAAUUAACAACGAGCAGCAAAGCCGCGAGGCGGAGCGAAUCUUCAAAAAUUGUCUCAGUUCGGAUUGCAGGCUGCAACUCGCCUGCAUGAAGUCGGAAUUGCUAGUAAUCGCGAAUCAGCAUGUCGCGGUGAAUACGUUCCCGGGCCUUGUACACACCGCCCGU
Molecule: ribosomal RNA, 490 nt
Filed under: uncultured bacterium
Lineage: Bacteria
Description: bacterial SSU rRNA
Rfam family: Bacterial small subunit ribosomal RNA
Source: RNAcentral